GGUGUUGAGUAGGUUUGUUUGUGUCAGGUGAGAGGAUGUUCGUGUAGGUGUUGAGUAGGUUUGUGUCAGGUGAGAGGAUGUUCGUGUAGGUGUUGAGUAGGUUUGUGUCAGGUGAGAGGAUGUUCGUGUAGGUGUUGAGUAGGUUUGUGUCAGGUGAGAGGAUGUUCGUGUAGGUGUUGAGUAGGUUUAUGUCAGGUGAGAGGAUGUUCGUGUAGGUGUUGAGUAGGUUUAUGUCAGGUGAGAGGAUGUUCGUGUAGGUGUUGAGUAGGUUUGUUUGUGUCAGGUGAGAGGAUGUUCGUGUAGGUGUUGAGUAGGUUUAUGUCAGGUGAGAGGAUGCUCGUGUAGGUGUUUGAGUAGGUUUAUGAACACUGUGC
Long non-coding RNA from Ictalurus punctatus (channel catfish), 374 nucleotides. NCBI's taxonomy places the organism in Eukaryota, Metazoa, Chordata, Actinopteri, Siluriformes, Ictaluridae. The record is from Ensembl.